Molecule: ribosomal RNA, 482 nt
Filed under: uncultured bacterium
Lineage: Bacteria
Description: partial 16S ribosomal RNA
Rfam family: Bacterial small subunit ribosomal RNA
Source: RNAcentral
GACGAACGCUGGCGGCGUGCUUAACACAUGCAAGUCGAACGCUGAAGCUCAGCUUUUGUUGGGUGGAUGAGUGGCGAACGGGUGAGUAACACGUGAGUAACCUGCCUCCUUCUUUGGGAUAACGCCCGGAAACGGGUGCUAAUACUGGAUAUUCACUGGUCUUCGCAUGGGGGUUGGUGGAAAGGGUUUUUCUGGUGGGGGAUGGGCUCGCGGCCUAUCAGCUUGUUGGUGGGGUGAUGGCCUACCAAGGCUUUGACGGGUAGCCGGCCUGAGAGGGUGACCGGUCACAUUGGGACUGAGAUCCGGCCCAGACUCCUACGGGAGGCAGCAGUGGGGAAUAUUGCACAAUGGGCGCAAGCCUGAUGCAGCGACGCCGCGUGAGGGAUGGAGGCCUUCGGGUUGUGAACCUCUUUCGCUCAUGGUCAAGCCGCAACAAUGGUUGUGGUGAGGGUAGUGGGUAAAGAAGCGCCGGCUAACUACGU